UGGGGAAUUUUGGACAAUGGGCGAAAGCCUGAUCCAGCAAUGCCGCGUGUGUGAAGAAGGCCUCCGGGUUGUAAAGCACUUUUGUCCGGAAAGAAAUGGCUCUGGUUAAUACCUGGGGUCGAUGACGGUACCGGAAGAAUAAGGACCGGCUAACUACGUGCCAGCAGCCGCGGUAAUACGUAGGGUCCAAGCGUUAAUCGGAAUUACUGGGCGUAAAGCGUGCGCAGGCGGUUGUGCAAGACCGAUGUGAAAUCCCCGGGCUUAACUUGGGAAUUGCAUUGGUGACUGCACGGCUAGAGUGUGUCAGAGGGGGGUAGAAUUCCACGUGUAGCAGUGAAAUGCGUAGAGAUGUGGAGGAAUACCGAUGGCGAAGGCAGCCCCCUGGGAUAACACUGACGCUCAUGCACGAAAGCGUGGGGAGCAAACAGG
Molecule: ribosomal RNA, 429 nt
Filed under: Bacillota bacterium
Lineage: Bacteria; Bacillati; Bacillota
Description: Firmicutes bacterium partial 16S ribosomal RNA
Rfam family: Bacterial small subunit ribosomal RNA
Source: RNAcentral